GACGAACGCUGGCGGCGUGCUUAACACAUGCAAGUCGAACGGUGAACGAGGGAGCUUGCUCCCUCCGGAUCAGUGGCGAACGGGUGAGUAACACGUGAGCAAUCUGCCCCGAACUCUGGGAUAAGCGUUGGAAACGACGUCUAAUACCGGAUACGACGCGGGAGGGCAUCCUCUCCGCGUGGAAAGAACUUCGGUUCGGGAUGAGCUCGCGGCCUAUCAGCUUGUUGGUGAGGUAACGGCUCACCAAGGCGACGACGGGUAGCCGGCCUGAGAGGGUGACCGGCCACACUGGGACUGAGACACGGCCCAGACUCCUACGGGGGGCAGCAGUGGGGAAUAUUGCACAAUGGGCGCAAGCCUGAUGCAGCAACGCCGCGUGAGGGACGACGGCCUUCGGGUUGUAAACCUCUUUUAGCAGGGAAGAAGCGAAAGUGACGGUACCUGCAGAAAAAGCACCGGCUAACUACGUG
RNAcentral lists this ribosomal RNA (470 nucleotides) under uncultured bacterium. RNAcentral describes it as "partial 16S ribosomal RNA". It matches the Rfam family "Bacterial small subunit ribosomal RNA", at positions 28 to 507 of the family's 1533-position model. The record is from RNAcentral.